This 953-nucleotide long non-coding RNA is filed under the name Bos taurus (domestic cattle). RNAcentral's name for it is "long non-coding RNA NONBTAT004897". The record is from RNAcentral. Lineage: Eukaryota; Metazoa; Chordata; Mammalia; Artiodactyla; Bovidae.
GUCUAGAAGGAAAUACAUCUGUCACUUAUCUGGAACUGAUCCCUUUUUCUUUUUCAUUUUUUAAAGAAAUCUCAUCUUCAUCCUUGAAACAUCAUUGCAUAUCCUUUGCCUCUGAAAUGGAAGGAUAAAGCUGCUAGGCAAUGUAUGCAAAAGUCUUACACACCAUCAGCAGCUACGUCCAGAAGAGCUGAGCCCUUAAUUUCUAGACUCUCCAUUCCACUCAGCUGGUGUGUUAUGUCUACACUACACAAGUUUAGAAAAAAAAAAGUUUUUGCAAGUUUUUCAAGAGAGAGCCCUACUGUGUUGUUUUUAAAACUUCCUUCUCAUUUUUCUGGUAUCUUCCAGCAAGCAGUGGGGAAACCUGCUUAAGCUCAUCCCUCUUUCACUUUGAAUUUCAUGGUGACACUUUUCUGGCACCACUGUCAGCAGAUCCUACUUUUAUGCAAAAUUGAAAAGACCAUGGAAAGUACUGCUUCUUCUCUGUCUGGAAAAGCAAGAGGCUUGGUGACAAUGUGAUUUCUUUCCCUGAAAUGUGGAAGGAUGAUUGGAGAAAAUGAAACACAGCACAGAGAUCAUUCUUCACUGGGGACCAGGGCCAUGAGCUAUGCGCUUCUUUAACUUUCAGUAGUUUCUGGACAAGGCUUAAAAUAAAUCAUAACACUAAGGCAGGAAGAGGUCUAUUUCUUUCCAGUGGUAUUUAAGAAAAUAGGAAAUCUAUGCAAUUUGAUUUUCACUCCAUUCAUGAAAACCAAAGAAUUUAACUAGUUUCCUUUGGACUCAUGAAAGAUGAAAGUCUAGUCUGUUCCCCCAAAUAGAGGGUCUAAAAGGAAACCUGGCGUCUGAGCACCUUGAAAUUUGAUUCGCUAAUCAUAAUUGAUCUUCACUGAGUUAGAGAAUAAAGGGGGAUGGGGGUCAGAUGGAGCUUGAGGAGUGAGGGAUUCACAGAGAGCUGU